GCAGUCGACGAUCCUACGGGAGGCAGCAGUGGGGAAUAUUGGACAAUGGGCGCAAGCCUGAUCCAGCAAUACCGCGUGAGGGAUGAAGGCUUUCGAGUCGUAAACCUCUGUCAGUUGGAACGAUGGGUCUAAAGGUUAAUACCCUUUAGACUUGACGGUACCUUCAAAGGAAGCCCCGGCUAACUCCGUGCCAGCAGCCGCGGUAAUACGGAGGGGGCAAGCGUUGCUCGGAAUUACUGGGCGUAAAGGGUCCGCAGGUGGCUUUGUAAGUUAGAUGUGAAAUCUCAGGGCUCAACCCUGAAACUGCAUCUAAUACUGCUUAGCUUGAGUACAGGAGAGGUUGGCGGAAUUCCCGGUGUAGCGGUGAAAUUCGUAGAUAUUAGGAAGAACACCAGUGGCGAAGGCGGCUCACUGGCUCGAUACUGACGCUGAGGCGCGAAAGCGUGGGGAGCAAACAGGAUUAGAUACCCUGGUAGUCCACGCCGUAAACGAUGAGAGCUAGCCGUCGGGCGGCAUGCCGUUCGGUGGCGCAGCUAACGCAUUAAGCUCUCCGCCUGGGGAGUACGGUCGCAAGAUUAAAACUCAAAGGAAUUGACGG
Molecule: ribosomal RNA, 598 nt
Filed under: uncultured delta proteobacterium
Lineage: Bacteria; Deltaproteobacteria
Description: bacterial SSU rRNA
Rfam family: Bacterial small subunit ribosomal RNA
Source: RNAcentral